AUGAAGUUGAACCAAUUGUAGGUAAAACAGAUAUGUUUGUAUUUCCACAUGGCGCACAGGAUAGACAUACACAAGCGUAUGAUUAUUUGGUAGAUGAAGCAGAGUUUAAGUUUAUUGCAGGUGUCGGUCCAAACAAUUUUACAGAUAUAUCAGCAACGAACGUUUACCAAGAUAGGGUUGCGAUUGAUGGUCUAAACUUAUUUGAAUUUA
This 210-nucleotide small RNA is filed under the name Staphylococcus aureus. RNAcentral describes it as "HMPRFS0000_3016". Lineage: Bacteria; Bacillati; Bacillota; Bacilli; Caryophanales; Staphylococcaceae. The record is from RNAcentral.